RNAcentral lists this non-coding RNA (148 nucleotides) under Nomascus leucogenys (northern white-cheeked gibbon). The record is from Rfam by way of RNAcentral. Lineage: Eukaryota; Metazoa; Chordata; Mammalia; Primates; Hylobatidae.
GCUGGGUGUGGUGGCACUUGCCUGUAAUCCCAGCUACUCGGGAGGCUGAGGCAGGAGAAUCACUUGAACCCAGGAGGCAGAGGCUGCAGUGAGCCGAGAUCGAGCCACUGCACUCCAGCCUGGGUGACAGAGUGAGACUCUGUCUCAA